Molecule: ribosomal RNA, 253 nt
Filed under: uncultured bacterium
Lineage: Bacteria
Description: partial 16S ribosomal RNA
Rfam family: Bacterial small subunit ribosomal RNA
Source: RNAcentral
UCCGGAGGGUGCAAGCGUUAUCCGGAUUCACUGGGUUUAAAGGGUGCGUAGGUGGGUCUGUAAGUCAGUGGUGAAAUCUCCGGGCUUAACUCGGAAACUGCCAUUGAUACUAUAGGUCUUGAAUUAUCUGGAGGUAAGCGGAAUAUGUCAUGUAGCGGUGAAAUGCUUAGAUAUGACAUAGAACACCAAUUGCGAAGGCAGCUUACUACGGAUACAUUGACACUGAGGCACGAAAGCGUGGGGAUCAAACAGG